CCCGAUGACGCAGGUCGUUGGGAUCAAAGGCCUUGCAAGGGCCACUGGAGGAGGGGGCUGCGGCCGAUUAGCUAGUUGGUGAGGUAACGGCUCACCAAGGCGAUGAUCGGUAGCCGGCCUGAGAGGGCGCACGGCCACACUGGCACUGAAACACGGGCCAGACUCCUACGGGAGGCAGCAGUGGGGAAUUUUGCACAAUGCCCGAAAGGGUGAUGCAGCAACGCCGCGUGAGGGAUGAAGGCCUUCGGGUCGUAAACCUCUUUCGAUCGGGAAAAAUGGGCUGGUGAAGAGCCAGUUCUGAUGGUACCGGAUGAAGAAGCCCCGGCUAACUACGUGCCAGCAGCCGCGGUAAUACGUAGGGGGCGAGCGUUGUUCGGAAUUACUGGGCGUAAAGGGCGUGUAGGCGGUGCGGUAAGUUGGGCGUGAAAUCCCCGAGCUUAACUCGGGUGGGCCGUUCAAGACUGCCGUGCUAGGGUGCGGGAGAGGGAAGUGGAAUUUCCGGUGUAGCGGUGAAAUGCGUAGAUAUCGGGAGGAACACCUGCGGCGAAGGCGGCUUCCUGGACCGUAACCGACGCUGAGGCGCGAAAGCUAGGGGAGCAAACAGGAUUAGAUACCCUGGUAGUCCUAGCCCUAAACGAUGAUACCUGGGGUGUGGCCCCUCACGGGGCCGUGCCGAAGCUAACGCAUUAAGUAUUCCGCCUGGGGAGUACGGUCGCAAGGCUG
RNAcentral lists this ribosomal RNA (723 nucleotides) under uncultured bacterium. RNAcentral describes it as "bacterial SSU rRNA". It matches the Rfam family "Bacterial small subunit ribosomal RNA", at positions 179 to 896 of the family's 1533-position model. The record is from RNAcentral.